UGGUUUGAACUUGUUUUCGGUUUCAGGACGUGAAACAUGUAAAGGAGGAGCCUGCAAAGGCCGGUAAAGGUUCAUCAAUGUGGCCAUGAGCAUCAACCCUGAAGCGAAAAUGUAUUCAUUCCCAUCAUCAUGUGUUGGGGGAGUAGGACGAAUUGGAGCACCAAGUAGAAGAGAAGUUGGUCACUGUACACUAGCAGAACGAGCCCUAAAAUAUAGUAUAGCUGAUGAUAUUACUGAAAUUUAAUGAUGCAGGUUGCUGGCAAUGAAGAUAGAGUAACAACAUUUCAAAUGGAUAUAAAGGAGAGAACAUUGCUGCUGAACUGGGCACCGUUUGAAGUUACUUGCGCAAAUUGCAAAAGACGAAUUUUGUACCGCUUCAAACCCAAGAUCCAUGGCUGAACAAUUUACAACAAUGUCAUGCAAAUGGUUUGCCAUCCUCAUGGGUCAAUAAAAGAUUCUUUUUGUUCCACCACCAGCAAGAGAUCCGAGAUUGUUUUUUUGACUUUUGUUUCGUUUACGUAUGGUUUGACUUAGAAAUUGUUGUUUGCUUUACUUAUGAAUUGAUUUUGAAAUGGUUGUUUGAUAUUGUGUUGGCUGCUUCAUUUUGUAUUAGUGUUGCAGUUCAUUUUAGUUAAUUAACAGUUAGUAUGGAAUUACUUUUAAAUUUUGAUCUUUGUUUG
Molecule: long non-coding RNA, 680 nt
Organism: Helianthus annuus (common sunflower)
Lineage: Eukaryota; Viridiplantae; Streptophyta; Magnoliopsida; Asterales; Asteraceae
Exons: 4
Source: RefSeq, a predicted model, not a curated record